Molecule: ribosomal RNA, 253 nt
Filed under: uncultured bacterium
Lineage: Bacteria
Description: partial 16S ribosomal RNA
Rfam family: Bacterial small subunit ribosomal RNA
Source: RNAcentral
UACAGAGGGGGCAAGCGUUGUUCGGAAUUACUGGGCGUAAAGGGCGCGUAGGCGGCCAACUAAGUCGGACGUGAAAUCCCCGGGCUCAACCCGGGAACUGCGUCCGAUACUGGAUGGCUUGAAUCCGGGAGAGGGAUGUGGAAUUCCAGGUGUAGCGGUGAAAUGCGUAGAUAUCAGGAAGAACACCAAUGGCGAAAGCAGCUCUCUGGGACGGUACUGACGCUGAGACGCGAAAGCGUGGGGAGCGAACAGG